AACGAACGCUGGCGGCAGGCUUAACACAUGCAAGUCGGACGCCCCGCAAGGGGAGUUGCAGACGGGUGAGUAACGCGUGGGAACGUGCCCCAAGGUAGGGAACAACAGCGGGAAACUGCUGCUAAUACCCUAUGUGACCUAGAGGUUAAAGAUUUAUCGCCUGGGGAUCGGCCCGCGUUGGAUUAGCUAGUUUGUGGGGUCAUAGCCUACCAAGGCAACGAUCCAUAUCUGUUCUGAGAGGAAGAUGAGUCACACUGGGACUGAGACACGGCCUAGACUCCUGCGGGAGGGAGCAGUGGGGAAUCUUCGAUAAAGGGCGCAAGACUGCUCAAGCCAUGCCGCGUGAGUGAUGAAGGACUUAGGGUUGUAAAACUCUUUCGACGAGGACGAUAAUGACGGUACUCGGAGAAGAAGCUCCGGCUAACUUCGUGCCAGCCGCCGCCGUAA
This 447-nucleotide ribosomal RNA is filed under the name uncultured bacterium. RNAcentral describes it as "partial 16S ribosomal RNA". It matches the Rfam family "Bacterial small subunit ribosomal RNA", at positions 29 to 523 of the family's 1533-position model. The record is from RNAcentral.